Long non-coding RNA from Diospyros lotus (date-plum), 994 nucleotides. RefSeq lists it as uncharacterized. Lineage: Eukaryota; Viridiplantae; Streptophyta; Magnoliopsida; Ericales; Ebenaceae. The transcript has 3 exons. The record is from RefSeq and is a predicted model, not a curated record.
CGCUGGUUAUGUAAACCCAUCCCCGGCAGUUUAGAAACUGCCGGUUAUAUUGACCCCAUCCCCGGCGGUUUUAAAACCGCCGGGGAUAUGAUUUAUAUAACACCCCCUGAUUCCCGCGCCCCCACCCAAAUCUUCCCCUCGCCCCUGCCCAAAUCCUUCUCUUCCAAAAUGCCCUGCGCGCAAACCCUAACCCUUUCUUGCUCGCGCCUCGUCGUGUUGUCUCUGUCACUCGCUCUCGCCAUUGAGUCACUACCUCCCUCGCCCUCGCUCUCGUCUCGCUCAAUCGCUUCUUCUUGCUGCUCCAUAAUAGCGACUGUAAGUUUAAGCGUGACGUCGAUGCCGGCGUCAUGCUUCUUGACACCUCCAAGAGCUUCGGCCGUCACACCAACUAGAUCCUCCUCGGCAAGGUCAAUUAUGCUUCGCUUUCUGUGGUUUUUUGAUUUUUGAUUGUUUUUUUGGGUUCUGGACGAAUCGAAUUCGAAAUCGGAGUGAGUAUGGCGAUGGCGAGCUUGGCCAGAUGGAAGGCUUCGCAUCUCUUCUGCAAUUUCUUCUCUUCUGACGUUUUCAGAGGUAUAUGCAGCAGCACAACGAGGUGGAGCUGUCGGCGCUUGGCAUGGAUUGAGAUAGUACUCGGGAAAACAGAGAAGUUUGAUGAAUUAAUGGCAGCUGCUUUGGAGGGGAGAGAUCGUGGAGAAUGUGAAGAGCAGAGCUAAAGGGAAGGGGAUCUGAUGUAGCUCUUAGUUUUGCCAUCAUGGGGGUGUAAUACUAUAAAGAACCUAAUGUAGCUUGUAGCUUUUUAUGUGGUCCAGAGUUCUUUUCUUGUUCUUUGUCUUUCUUGUACGUUUAUUAAUCUCGAUAUAGAUCAAAUGACUAUCUAACUAGAAUAGGCUCUCAGAUAUGUAUAAUGACUAUCUUCACAUGCAUAUAGAUCAAAUGUGUUGUACUUAAAUAGAUUUAUUGUAUACAGUUGUUAUACUUAUUAUGUGUAGCAAGU